GACGAACGCUGGCGGCGUGCUUAACACAUGCAAGUCGAACGGAAAGGCCCUGCUUUUGUGGGGUGCUCGAGUGGCGAACGGGUGAGUAACACGUGAGUAACCUGCCCUUGACUUUGGGAUAACUUCAGGAAACUGGGGCUACUACCGGAUAGGAGCUCCUGCUGCAUGGUGGGGGGUGGAAAGUUUCGGCGGUUGGGGAUGGACUCGCGGCUUAUCAGCUUGUUGGUGGGGUAGUGGCUUACCAAGGCUUUGACGGGUCGCCGGCCUGUGAGGGUGACCGGCCACAUUGGGACUGCGAUACGGCCCAGACUCCUACGGGAGGCAGCAGUGGGGAAUAUUGCACAAUGGGCGGAAGCCUGAUGCAGCAACGCCGCGUGCGUGAUGACGUCCUUCGGGUUGUAAACCGCUUUCGCCUGUGACGAAGCGGGAGUGACGGUAAUGGGUAAAGAAGCACCGGCUAACUACGUG
Molecule: ribosomal RNA, 468 nt
Filed under: uncultured bacterium
Lineage: Bacteria
Description: partial 16S ribosomal RNA
Rfam family: Bacterial small subunit ribosomal RNA
Source: RNAcentral